RNAcentral lists this ribosomal RNA (618 nucleotides) under uncultured archaeon. Its description in RNAcentral is "bacterial SSU rRNA". It matches the Rfam family "Archaeal small subunit ribosomal RNA", at positions 325 to 944 of the family's 1478-position model. The record is from RNAcentral.
ACGGGGUGCAGCAGGCGCGAAAACUUUGCAAUGUGCGAAAGCACGACAAGGUUAAUCCGAGUGGUUUCUGCUAAAGGAACCUUUUGUUAGUCCUAGAAACACUAGCGAAUAAGGGGUGGGCAAGUUCUGGUGUCAGCCGCCGCGGUAAAACCAGCACCUCAAGUGGUCAGGAUGAUUAUUGGGCCUAAAGCAUCCGUAGCCGGCUCUGUAAGUUUUCGGUUAAAUCUGUACGCUCAACGUACAGGCUGCCGGGAAUACUGCAGAGCUAGGGAGUGGGAGAGGUAGACGGUACUCGGGAGGAAGGGGUAAAAUCCUUUGAUCUUUCGAUGACCACCUGUGGCGAAGGCGGUCUACCAGAACACGUCCGACGGUGAGGGAUGAAAGCUGGGGGAGCAAACCGGAUUAGAUACCCGGGUAGUCCCAGCUGUAAACUAUGCAAACUCAGUGAUGCAUUGACUUGUGGUCAAUGCAGUGCUGCAGGGAAGCCGUUAAGUUUGCCGCCUGGGAAGUACGUACGCAAGUAUGAAACUUAAAGGAAUUGGCGGGGGAGCACCACAAGGGGUGAAGCCUGCGGUUCAAUUGGAGUCAACGCCAGAAAUCUUACCCGGAGAGACAGCA